RNAcentral lists this transfer RNA (95 nucleotides) under Caenorhabditis elegans. RNAcentral's name for it is "Unclassified non-coding RNA C56G3.3". Lineage: Eukaryota; Metazoa; Nematoda; Chromadorea; Rhabditida; Rhabditidae. The record is from RNAcentral.
AUUCAACAAAAACGUUUCUGGAGGUAUGGGGAAUUGAACCCCAGCCCUCUCCCAUGCUAAGGGAGCGCUCUACCACUGAGCUAUACCCCCGAACG